CCUACGGGAUGCAGCAGUAGGGAAUUUUCGUCAAUGGGCGCAAGCCUGAACGAGCAAUGCCGCGUGAACGAGGAAGGUCUUCGGAUCGUAAAGUUCUGUUGAAGGGGAAAAAGAGCGGAGAGAGGAAAUGGUCUCCGAUUGAUAUUACCCUUCGAGGAAGUCACGGCUAACUACGUGCCAGCAGCCGCGGUAAUACGUAGGUGGCGAGCGUUAUCCGGAAUGAUUGGGCGUAAAGGGUGCGUAGGCGGCCUGCUAAGUCUGGAGUGAAAGGUACCGGCUCAACCGGUACAGGCUCUGGAAACUGGCGGGCUAGAGAGCAGGAGAGGGCGGUGGAACUCCAUGUGUAGCGGUAAAAUGCGUAGAUAUAUGGAAGAACACCAGUGGCGAAGGCGGCCGCCUGGCCUGUUACUGACGCUGAGGCACGAAAGCGUGGGGAGCAAAUAUGAUUAGAUACCCCGGUAGUC
Molecule: ribosomal RNA, 464 nt
Filed under: uncultured bacterium
Lineage: Bacteria
Description: partial 16S ribosomal RNA
Rfam family: Bacterial small subunit ribosomal RNA
Source: RNAcentral